Molecule: transfer RNA, 72 nt
Filed under: Camelus bactrianus (Bactrian camel)
Lineage: Eukaryota; Metazoa; Chordata; Mammalia; Artiodactyla; Camelidae
Also listed under: 3 other names
Rfam family: tRNA
About the family: Transfer RNA (tRNA) molecules are approximately 80 nucleotides in length. Their secondary structure includes four short double-helical elements and three loops (D, anti-codon, and T loops).
Source: Rfam by way of RNAcentral
GAGGGUAUAGCUCAGUGGUAGAGUGUGUGCUUAGUGUGCACGAGGUCCUGGGUUCAAUCUCCAGUAUCUCCU